Molecule: ribosomal RNA, 1541 nt
Filed under: Staphylococcus aureus
Lineage: Bacteria; Bacillati; Bacillota; Bacilli; Caryophanales; Staphylococcaceae
Description: partial 23S ribosomal RNA
Rfam family: Bacterial large subunit ribosomal RNA
Source: RNAcentral
GUGAAAUUCCGUCGGAAUCUGGGAGGACCAUCUCCUAAGGCUAAAUACUCUCUAGUGACCGAUAGUGAACCAGUACCGUGAGGGAAAGGUGAAAAGCACCCCGGAAGGGGAGUGAAAUAGAACCUGAAACCGUGUGCUUACAAGUAGUCAGAGCCCGUUAAUGGGUGAUGGCGUGCCUUUUGUAGAAUGAACCGGCGAGUUACGAUUUGAUGCAAGGUUAAGCAGUAAAUGUGGAGCCGUAGCGAAAGCGAGUCUGAAUAGGGCGUUUAGUAUUUGGUCGUAGACCCGAAACCAGGUGAUCUACCCUUGGUCAGGUUGAAGUUCAGGUAACACUGAAUGGAGGACCGAACCGACUUACGUUGAAAAGUGAGCGGAUGAACUGAGGGUAGCGGAGAAAUUCCAAUCGAACCUGGAGAUAGCUGGUUCUCUCCGAAAUAGCUUUAGGGCUAGCCUCAAGUGAUGAUUAUUGGAGGUAGAGCACUGUUUGGACGAGGGGCCCCUCUCGGGUUACCGAAUUCAGACAAACUCCGAAUGCCAAUUAAUUUAACUUGGGAGUCAGAACAUGGGUGAUAAGGUCCGUGUUCGAAAGGGAAACAGCCCAGACCACCAGCUAAGGUCCCAAAAUAUAUGUUAAGUGGAAAAGGAUGUGGCGUUGCCCAGACAACUAGGAUGUUGGCUUAGAAGCAGCCAUCAUUUAAAGAGUGCGUAAUAGCUCACUAGUCGAGUGACACUGCGCCGAAAAUGUACCGGGGCUAAACAUAUUACCGAAGCUGUGGAUUGUCCUUUGGACAAUGGUAGGAGAGCGUUCUAAGGGCGUUGAAGCAUGAUCGUAAGGACAUGUGGAGCGCUUAGAAGUGAGAAUGCCGGUGUGAGUAGCGAAAGACGGGUGAGAAUCCCGUCCACCGAUUGACUAAGGUUUCCAGAGGAAGGCUCGUCCGCUCUGGGUUAGUCGGGUCCUAAGCUGAGGCCGACAGGCGUAGGCGAUGGAUAACAGGUUGAUAUUCCUGUACCACCUAUAAUCGUUUUAAUCGAUGGGGGGACGCAGUAGGAUAGGCGAAGCGUGCGAUUGGAUUGCACGUCUAAGCAGUAAGGCUGAGUAUUAGGCAAAUCCGGUACUCGUUAAGGCUGAGCUGUGAUGGGGAGAAGACAUUGUGUCUUCGAGUCGUUGAUUUCACACUGCCGAGAAAAGCCUCUAGAUAGAAAAUAGGUGCCCGUACCGCAAACCGACACAGGUAGUCAAGAUGAGAAUUCUAAGGUGAGCGAGCGAACUCUCGUUAAGGAACUCGGCAAAAUGACCCCGUAACUUCGGGAGAAGGGGUGCUCUUUAGGGUUAACGCCCAGAAGAGCCGCAGUGAAUAGGCCCAAGCGACUGUUUAUCAAAAACACAGGUCUCUGCUAAACCGUAAGGUGAUGUAUAGGGGCUGACGCCUGCCCGGUGCUGGAAGGUUAAGAGGAGUGGUUAGCUUCUGCGAAGCUACGAAUCGAAGCCCCAGUAAACGGCGGCCGUAACUAUAACGGUCCUAAGGUAGCGAAAUUCCUUG